AACGAACGCUGGCGGCAGGCCUAACACAUGCAAGUCGAGCGCGCCCUUCGGGGUGAGCGGCGGACGGGGGAGUAACGCGUGGGAACGUGCCCUUCUCUGCGGAAUAGCCUCGGGAAACGGAGAGUAAUACCGCAUACGCCCUUUGGGGGAAAGAUUUAUCGGGGCAGGAUCGGCCCGGGUUGGGUUAGGUAGUUGGUGGGGUAAUGGCCCACCAAGCCCACGAUCCAUAGCUGGUUUGAGAGGAUGAUCAGCCACACUGGGACUGAGACACGGCCCAGCCUCCUACGGGAGGCAGCAGUGGGGAAUCUUAGACAAUGGGGGCAACCCUGAUCUAGCCAUGCCGCGUGAGUGAUGAAGGCCUUAGGGUUGUAAAGCUCUUUCAGCUGGGAAGAUAAUGACGGUACCAGCAGAAGAAGCCCCGGCUAACUCCGUG
RNAcentral lists this ribosomal RNA (433 nucleotides) under uncultured bacterium. RNAcentral describes it as "partial 16S ribosomal RNA". It matches the Rfam family "Bacterial small subunit ribosomal RNA", at positions 29 to 507 of the family's 1533-position model. The record is from RNAcentral.